UACCUAUUCUCAAUUUAUCGUGUAGAGCUUUAGUUUUUAAUUCGCGACAUUUUUUAAACUAAACAAACAAUUUUCUCUGCAGGCAAAGGGCCCUUCAGGGAUGGUGCCCUUCCACGGCUCCGGCAAAAAGCAAUUGCUUGAUGCUUGUGCUGAUGGCAAAAUUACCACCCGAUCGGCGGAAAUGGCAGUGGAAAACAAGCCGUCGGAAAGGUGCUGUGACCCUCAAUACACGAGGAGGAAGAUCACUGGAAAAUGAUCCGCAACAAGCGGUUGAUAUCGCGGAGUCCGGGAGGAUCUGUCGUCUGGCGGAUUUGGUGUAUGCUUCUGGUCAUCCAUGGCGUCCACGAAUUUUGGCAUCACGCACCACUCGCAGCAGGUCGGUCGGAGCUGCUCUCAAAGCCAAUCGGGAAACCAUCAGCUACCCGACACCGUCGUCAUGAACGAGCUUAAGCCUCGGGAAUUGGCCUGAAAAUAAAUACUACAGCAGGCGAAGCCCGGAUUCCGAUCGAGGUGCAAGCUUUUUAAAAAUUGUGAAAAAUAGCUUUGUGAAAAUUUGUGGUAAGGAAGAAAAUGUGAAAAUGAAAGUGUACAACAUUAAUAAAAUGUGU
This is a long non-coding RNA of Uranotaenia lowii, 608 nucleotides long. RefSeq lists it as uncharacterized. Lineage: Eukaryota; Metazoa; Arthropoda; Insecta; Diptera; Culicidae. The record is from RefSeq and is a predicted model, not a curated record. The transcript is spliced from 3 exons.